GACGAACGCUGGCGGCGUGCUUAACACAUGCAAGUCGAACGGAAAGGCCCUGCUUUUGUGGGGUGCUCGAGUGGCGAACGGGUGAGUAACACGUGAGUAACAUGCCCUUGACUUUGGGAUAACUUCAGGAAACUGGGGCGAAUACCGGAUAGGAGCUCCUGCUGCAUGGUGGGGGUUGGAAAGAUUCGGCGGUUGGGGAUGGACUCGCGGCUUAUCAGCUUGUUGGUGGGGUAGUGGCUUACCAAGGUUUUGACGGGUAGCCGGCCUGAGAGGGUGACCGGCCACAUUGGUACUGAGAUACGGACCAGACUCCUACGGGAGGCAGCAGUGGGGAAUAUUGCACAGUAGGCGGAAGCCUGAUGCAGCAACGCCGCGUGCGGGAAGACGGCCUUCGAGUUGUAAACCGCUUUCGCCUGUGACGAAGCGUGAGUGACGGUAAUGGGUAAAGAAGCACCGGCUAACUACGUG
This 468-nucleotide ribosomal RNA is filed under the name uncultured bacterium. RNAcentral's name for it is "partial 16S ribosomal RNA". It matches the Rfam family "Bacterial small subunit ribosomal RNA", at positions 28 to 507 of the family's 1533-position model. The record is from RNAcentral.